UGCAUGUGGCCAUGAGAGGACCCUGUCCUUUCAUUAGUCCGAGGCUUGAACCUGGCCCAAACACUGCAGCCGCGCCCCACACUGUCCAACUUCAGUUUCACGUUCCUGCCCUCGCAGCGGCUGCCUCUUGAGAGCGUGGGAGCGUCAGGGAGGCGCCUGGGAGCAGGGGGCGCGCCGAUGGCCUGUAUCUCCCUCCAGUGACUCCCAGCCACUACCUGGGCGCCAGCGGCGAUGAUGUCACCACAGGCAUCUUCAGGCUCAGCUGCUCUGCGGGUGGGUCGGCCGUGUGGGCGGCCGGGGAAUCCCACCGGUGACAACACAGCGUCCUUGGGAGCUGACACGGCAGCCGAUGCCCCAGACCGACCCCAGGCCCCGACAGUCUCGCUGCAAAGCGUGGGAAGCCCGGGCCCCAGACGUCACGCCCGCCCGCACCUCACCUUCACACAGAGCUGCUGCGGUGGCUUCGCUCCUGACUCAUCGCUCAUCCGGUUUCAACCCCGGUUUUGAUUCGCCUCGGGGGCCCGAGAGGCCUGGCAGUAUUAGGCCGGGCCUUAGGCGGUUCUGGAACAUUCCCCGGAGGCCUCGGCCGAGAGUGGAGAUUCGAUAACUCAAGGUCGACGCUCAACCACUGAGCCACGUUGGCCGGGCCAGCGCUGUAUUUAUAAGCUGGCAGAUAAGAAAAGACAGCGCCAUCUGCUUCCAAACUCAUGCCUUCUCUCCGCGUGCUUUGAGAUUUCAUAAAUGCCGGUGACCAGGCGUGUUUUCCAAUGACCCGGUGACUUCCAGCCGCUCCAGCCAAUGGGGACGGAGCCCUGAUGAUACAAGGCCUCACGGGGCAUGACUCAUCCCUGGAGACAUGACCUGCGUGGCCGUUGUGAAGGGCCUGCUUCUGUCAAUAUCGAUGGCCAGAAACCAUCCCAGGAGCUCCCCAGCGAUGCGCGUGCAGUGGCUCAGUGCCUGUGUGUGACUCACAGUUGGUGUGUGACCGGCCCGACUGGGCAGGGAACGUUCGGUCUGCAACGGAGAGGACACCCAAGGCCACGCCGGGCUCCCGGUUCCGGCUUCUUAAAAGCGUGGCUUUGCCAAGAAGGAAACGCUCAAAAGCGGUCUCCAUCCCUGAGGGACUAAGGCAGGCACGGAGGGUACGGGGCGAACAGGGCCUCUCCCCAUUGGGAGCCCAUGUCUUCACACCUGCUUGUCCCGGGGGCACCGCGACGCUCACUCAGUUUCCCGUGGGCCCUGUGCUCCUCGAGGGGCAGCCUCUCCCCUCAAGUCAACGCGGCUGGGCCCUGGCCCGUGUGGCUCAGUGGACAGAGCGUCGGCCUGUGGACUGAAGGGUCC
This is a long non-coding RNA of Myotis brandtii (Brandt's bat), 1341 nucleotides long. RefSeq lists it as uncharacterized. The record is from RefSeq and is a predicted model, not a curated record. NCBI's taxonomy places the organism in Eukaryota, Metazoa, Chordata, Mammalia, Chiroptera, Vespertilionidae. The transcript is spliced from 4 exons.